CUGGCGGGGCUGGCGGGGCUGGCGGGGCUGGCGGCCUGGCCCACUCCCAGGCUGACAGGACAUCCAACCCUCUGGCUAUGGCAUCUUGGAGGAACAGGCAGGCCUUGAAAAUAGCAGAAAUUCCGAAUUCCCCUGCCCCGGGAGGACUCAAAGGACCCUGCUGAGGACAGAGCUGAUAUGGCCUCAGAAUAAAGAUGAGGGAAGACCAUCCCAAGGAAGACCCCUCUAGCCCAUGGCAAAAGGGCUGGAAUACGCAAGGAUUUGAAAAGCAAGUUUUGCUUUCCAUAUAAACCUAAGCAAGUCGCUUAAUCUGUGAGCCUCAACUACUUUACUUGUGCAAUGGGCAUGUUGCUGGUAGUGGUGAUAGCAGGGAGCCACCGAGAGAGCUUCCAAGUGUGCCAUCUAAGCCCUCCUCUGGGGAAGGGAAGCUCCUCUGGGGAAGGGAAACUGGACCCCCGGGAAAAUUUAUUCUCCCAGGGACGAACAUCCAGACAUUUCCCUGUAGGAGCCUCAGUGUGUUCAGAUGUUCACUGUCCAGUAGAAACAAGACAUCUAGGCAACUCUCCCAUCUCACCAAGCCUCUGCUCUCUUCUGUGGCCACUGUGGGGUUGUGAGAGUAAUGUCAAGACCCAACCCAAUUAGAACACAGGGAAUUUUGCCUGGGAAAGGGAGCCCUUCUACCCUACACCCCUGCUUUCUCUCUUCCAAGGAUCAGGUCUGAUUCAUGUCUGCAUCCUAAAGGCUACAAAUAAACUGUGUCCGGAAAGGAAAA
Molecule: long non-coding RNA, 772 nt
Filed under: Homo sapiens (human)
Lineage: Eukaryota; Metazoa; Chordata; Mammalia; Primates; Hominidae
Description: HSALNT0401558
Source: RNAcentral